RNAcentral lists this ribosomal RNA (332 nucleotides) under uncultured Nocardia sp. RNAcentral's name for it is "bacterial SSU rRNA". It matches the Rfam family "Bacterial small subunit ribosomal RNA", at positions 21 to 358 of the family's 1533-position model. The record is from RNAcentral. Lineage: Bacteria; Bacillati; Actinomycetota; Actinomycetes; Mycobacteriales; Nocardiaceae.
GGCGCAGAACGAACGCUGGCUUCCUGCUUAAACAUGCAAGUCUAGCGGUAUGGCCCUUCGGGGUACACGAGCGGCGAACGGGUGAGUAACACGUGGGUGAUCUGCCUCGUACUCUGGGAUAAGCCUGGGAAACUGGGUCUAAUACCGGAUAUGACCACGAAUCGCAUGGUUUGUGGUGGAAAGAUUUAUCGGUGCGAGAUGGGCCCGCGGCCUAUCAGCUUGUUGGUGGGGUAAUGGCCUACCAAGGCGACGACGGGUAGCCGACCUGAGAGGGUGACCGGUCACUCUGGGACUGAGACACGGCCCAUACUCCUACGGGAGGCAGCAGUGGG